AAAAUUUUAAUGCAGAUGUUUUUCAGACCAGAGAUUUAUGGGGGAGGAAGCAGCAGGAUUUGUAAGGACUUGUGCCUCCUACUGUGAAAAGUGGGCUUCUGUUUGUGUCCAGCCCAAGGUCCAGAACUGAGGAGAGAAUAUAAUUUUCAAGCAUUUUGGCCUUCUGCCAGAGAGAAAAUGAAUGUCAGUGUCUGUACGCAGUGCCGGUCACUCACCUGAGGUUGGUGAGUUAAAGUUCUAAGAAAUAAGGUCUGCCCUUCGCUUCCCCUGGCUGGAGGUAGCACAGGUGAUGAGUAAAGUCCAGUAACAGCCAUCCCCAUCAACCUCCCUGGCCUGAGUCUGUCUUCCUCCUCGUCUGGGUUCCCCAUCAGUUCAUAUCUGACCUUGGUUUCUCUUCUCACUCCAUGUGUGACCUUUUUCUUUCAGAUCUGAUCUAGCAUCUCUUUCGUUCAAAGCUUGCUCCUCAGACCUACCGCAGGAGCCUCGCAGUGGUCUGCCCGCCAGCCCUCUGAAGGCAGGGUAGGCAGGUUUCUCAGUUUUAGGUGUGGAAAGUGAUUAAGAAACAUUAAAAUGAAAAUCAUUUUUGCAAAACUUGAGGCAUGAUUACAUUGCUCUUUUAUCAGAACUUUCCUAGGUAAUGGUGUCCUGAGAGCAGCCUGGCAUGGCUUAUCACUGAGCCAGUCUGAUGAAGCUUUUAGACCUGAGGUUUUAUGUUGCCGAAGUCAUACUGGAAGUAAUUCACGAUUUAAGACUGAGAAUCAGCUUUAUAGACCUCCAAAUAUGCAAAGCAGCUCUUGCUUUUAGAGCUACCAUCUUCAAGACUCCACCCUGCGUCCCCCUUCCCUACCACUACUGGCCAAACAUACCCGCAGAAAUGCAGGGAAACUGCCUAGGCGCGAGACUUGAGCUAGAGUGGAAACAGUGGAAAAUCAAACAUAUUGGCCCAUUAGAGUCUUGCUAAAAAUACGAAGAGCACAGCUAUUCUGAGGGACGAUGGCAUGGGAAAACUCUGCCUGGAAUCUUGGAUCCAGCAGAGCAGACAGGGUUUCCAGCAGACGUGGGAAGAGGAAUUAAACUCCAGCACAGAGGGGAAGAGGGCAUCAAACUUGGCAGAUGCCAGAACAUAAUUGAAAAAGGGCUGGGAGAUGCCAGGACAGUUACUUUUCUAUUUGCAACCAAUAAAGGUUCGAAACGGUGAGUAAUUAUGGGUAAG
This 1213-nucleotide long non-coding RNA is filed under the name Anas platyrhynchos platyrhynchos (common mallard). RNAcentral describes it as "lncRNA (ENSAPLG00000024187.1)". The record is from RNAcentral. Lineage: Eukaryota; Metazoa; Chordata; Aves; Anseriformes; Anatidae.